AUCAACAGCCAUACCACCUGCAGUUCAGACUAGAUAAUCCAUCAGCAGCUAAGCAGGUUUGGGCCUGGCCAGUACCUAGAUGGAAGACCAACUAUGAAAGCUGGGUUGCUGCUGGAA
RNAcentral lists this ribosomal RNA (117 nucleotides) under Paramormyrops kingsleyae. Lineage: Eukaryota; Metazoa; Chordata; Actinopteri; Osteoglossiformes; Mormyridae. The record is from RNAcentral.